RNAcentral lists this ribosomal RNA (483 nucleotides) under uncultured bacterium. RNAcentral describes it as "bacterial SSU rRNA". It matches the Rfam family "Bacterial small subunit ribosomal RNA", at positions 30 to 506 of the family's 1533-position model. The record is from RNAcentral.
AUUGAACGCUGGCGGCAGGCCUAACACAUGCAAGUCGAGCGGAUGAGUGGAGCUUGCUCCAUGAUUCAGCGGCGGACGGGUGAGUAAUGCCUAGGAAUCUGCCUGGUAGUGGGGGACAACGUUUCGAAAGGAACGCUAAUACCGCAUACGUCCUACGGGAGAAAGUGGGGGAUCUUCGGACCUCACGCUAUCAGAUGAGCCUAGGUCGGAUUAGCUAGUUGGUGAGGUAAAGGCUCACCAAGGCGACGAUCCGUAACUGGUCUGAGAGGAUGAUCAGUCACACUGGAACUGAGACACGGUCCAGACUCCUACGGGAGGCAGCAGUGGGGAAUAUUGGACAAUGGGCGAAAGCCUGAUCCAGCCAUGCCGCGUGUGUGAAGAAGGUCUUCGGAUUGUAAAGCACUUUAAGUUGGGAGGAAGGGCAGUAAGUUAAUACCUUGCUGUUUUGACGUUACCAACAGAAUAAGCACCGGCUAACUUCGU